GUUAGGGUUAGGGUUAGGGUUGGAGUUAGGGUUAGUGUUGGAGCUAGGGUUAGGGUUGGGCUUGGAGCUAGGAUUUUUCUGAGUGCACUGAACCAACUCCCGAGUCUCUAGGACAUUCCUAAAAAAUUUGAUUUUUUCCCAUAGGAAUGCAUGGGUUAGGGUUAUGGUUAGGGUUAGGGUUGGAGCUAGGGUUAGGGUUAGGGUUAGGGUUGGAGUUAGGGUUAGUGUUGGAGCUAGGGUUAGGGUUGGGCUUGGAGCUAGGAUUUUUCUGAGUGCACUGAACCAACUCCCGAGUCUCUAGGACAUUCCUAAAAAAAUUUGAUUUUUUCCCAUAGGAAUGCAUGGGUUAGGGUUAUGGUUAGGGUUAGGGUUGGAGCUAGGGUUAGGGUUAGGGUUAGGGUUGGAGUUAGGGUUAGUGUUGGAGCUAGGGUUAGGGUUGGGCUUGGAGCUAGGAUUUUUCUGAGUGCACUGAACCAACUCCCGAGUCUCUAGGACAUUCCUAAAAAAAUUUGAUUUUUUCCCAUAGGAAUGCAUGGGUUAGGGUUAGGUUAGGGUUAGGGUUGGAGCUAGGGUUAGGGUUAGGGUUAGGGUUGGAGUUAGGGUUAGUGUUGGAGCUAGGGUUAGGGUUGGGCUUGGAGCUAGGAUUUUUCUGAGUGCACUGAACCAACUCCCGAGUCUCUAGGACAUUCCUAAAAAAAUUUGAUUUUUUCCCAUAGGAAUGCAUGGGUUAGGGUUAUGGUUAGGGUUAGGGUUGGAGCUAGGGUUAGGGUUAGGGUUAGGGUUGGAGUUAGGGUUAGUGUUGGAGCUAGGGUUAGGGUUGGGCUUGGAGCUAGGAUUUUUCUGAGUGCACUGAACCAACUCCCGAGUCUCUAGGACAUUCCUAAAAAAAUUUGAUUUUUUCCCAUAGGAAUGCAUGGGUUAGGGUUAGGGUUAGGGUUGGAGCUAGGGUUAGGGUUAGGGUUAGGGUUGGAGUUAGGGUUAGUGUUGGAGCUAGGGUUAGGGUUGGGCUUGGAGCUAGGAUUUUUCUGAGUGCACUGAACCAACUCCCGAGUCUCUAGGACAUUCCUAAAAAAAUUUGAUUUUUUCCCAUAGGAAUGCAUGGGUUAGGGUUAUGGUUAGGGUUAGGGUUGGAGCUAGGGUUAGGGUUAGGGUUAGGGUUGGAGUUAGGGUUAGUGUUGGAGCUAGGGUUAGGGUUGGGCUUGGAGCUAGGAUUUUUCUGAGUGCACUGAACCAACUCCCGAGUCUCUAGGACAUUCCUAAAAAAUUUGAUUUUUUCCCAUAGGAAUGCAUGGGUUAGGGUUAUGGUUAGGGUUAGGGUUGGAGCUAGGGUUAGGGUUAGGGUUAGGGUUGGAGUUAGGGUUAGUGUUGGAGCUAGGGUUAGGGUUGGGCUUGGAGCUAGGAUUUUUCUGAGUGCACUGAACCAACUCCCGAGUCUCUAGGACAUUCCUAAAAAAAUUUGAUUUUUUCCCAUAGGAAUGCUAGGGUUAGGGUUGGGCUUGGAGCUAGGAUUUUUCUGAGUGCACUGAACCAACUCCCGAGUCUCUAGGACAUUCCUAAAAAAAUUGAGUUUUUCCCAUAGGAAUGCAUGGGUUAGGGGGUUAGGGUUAGGGUUGGAGCUAGGGUUAGGGUUAGGGUUAGGGUUGGAGUUAGGGUUAGUGUUGGAGCUAGGGUUAGGGUUGGGCUUGGAGCUAGGAUUUUUCUGAGUGCACUGAACCAACUCCCGAGUCUCUAGGACAUUCCUAAAAAAAUUUGAUUUUUUCCCAUAGGAAUGCAUGGGUUAGGGAUUAUAGUUAGGGUUAGGGUUGGAGCUAGGGUUAGGGUUAGGAUUAGGGUUGGAGUUAGGGUUAGUGUUGGAGCUAGGGUUAGGGUUGGGCUUGGAGCUAGGAUUUUUCUGAGUGCACUGAACCAACUCCCGAGUCUCUAGGACAUUCCUAAAAAAAUUUGAUUUUUUCCCAUAGGAAUGCAUGGGUUAUGGUUAGGGUUAGGGUUGGAGCUAGGGUUAGGGUUAGGGUUAGGGUUGGAGUUAGGGUUAGUGUUGGAGCUAGGUUAGGGUUGGGCUUGGAGCUAGGAUUUUUCUGAGUGCACUGAACCAACUCCCGAGUCUCUAGGACAUUCCUAAAAAAAAUUGAUUUUUUCCCAUAGGAAUGCAUGGGUUAGGGUUAUGGUUAGGGUUAGGGUUGGAGCUAGGGUUAGGGUUAGGGUUAGGGUUGGAGUUAGGGUUAGUGUUGGAGCUAGGGUUAGGGUUGGGCUUGGAGCUAGGAUUUUUCUGAGUGCACUGAACCAACUCCCGAGUCUCUAGGACAUUCCUAAAAAAAUUUGAUUUUUUCCAUAGGAAUGCAUGGGUUAGGGUUAUGGUUAGGGUUAGGGUUGGAGCUAGGGUUAGGGUUAGGGUUAGGGUUGGAGUUAGGGUUAGUGUUGGAGCUAGGGUUAGGGUUGGGCUUGGAGCUAGGAUUUUUCUGAGUGCACUGAACCAACUCCCGAGUCUCUAGGACGUUCCUAAAAAAAUUUGAUUUUUUCCCAUAGGAAUGCAUGGGUUAGGGUUAGGGUUAGGGUUGGAGCUAGGGUUAGGGUUAGGGUUAGGGUUGGAGUUAGGGUUAGUGUUGGAGCUAGGGUUAGGGUUGGGCUUGGAGCUAGGAUUUUUCUGAGUGCACUGAACCAACUGGAGUCUCUAGGACAUUCCUAAAAAAUUUGAUUUUUUCCCAUAGGAAUGCAUGGGUUAGGGUUAUGGUUAGGGUUAGGGUUGGAGCUAGGGUUAGGGUUAGGGUUAGGGUUGGAGGGAGCUAGGGUUAGGGUUGGGCUUGGAGCUAGGAUUUUUCUGAGUGCACUGAACCAACUCCCGAGUCUCUAGGACAUUCCUAAAAAAAUUUGAUUUUUUCCCAUAGAAUGCAUGGGUUAGGGUUAUGGUUAGGGUUAGGGUUGGAGCUAGGGUUAGGGUUAGGGUUAGGGUUGGAGUUAGGGUUAGUGUUGGAGCUAGGGUUAGGGUUGGGCUUGGAGCUAGGAUUUUUCUGAGUGCACUGAACCAACUCCCGAGUCUCUAGGACAUUCCUAAA
Molecule: non-coding RNA, 3050 nt
Organism: Xyrichtys novacula (pearly razorfish)
Lineage: Eukaryota; Metazoa; Chordata; Actinopteri; Labriformes; Labridae
Source: the annotation of a GenBank genome assembly